UUUAUGGAGAGUUUGAUCCUGGCUCAGGAUGAACGCUGGCGGCGUGCCUAAUACAUGCAAGUCGAGCGAACAGACGAGGAGCUUGCUCCUCUGACGUUAGCGGCGGACGGGUGAGUAACACGUGGAUAACCUACCUAUAAGACUGGGAUAACUUCGGGAAACCGGAGCUAAUACCGGAUAAUAUAUUGAACCGCAUGGUUCAAUAGUGAAAGACGGUUUUGCUGUCACUUAUAGAUGGAUCCGCGCCGCAUUAGCUAGUUGGUAAGGUAACGGCUUACCAAGGCAACGAUGCGUAGCCGACCUGAGAGGGUGAUCGGCCACACUGGAACUGAGACACGGUCCAGACUCCUACGGGAGGCAGCAGUAGGGAAUCUUCCGCAAUGGGCGAAAGCCUGACGGAGCAACGCCGCGUGAGUGAUGAAGGUCUUCGGAUCGUAAAACUCUGUUAUUAGGGAAGAACAAAUGUGUAAGUAACUAUGCACGUCUUGACGGUACCUAAUCAGAAAGCCACGGCUAACUACGUGCCAGCAGCCGCGGUAAUACGUAGGUGGCAAGCGUUAUCCGGAAUUAUUGGGCGUAAAGCGCGCGUAGGCGGUUUUUUAAGUCUGAUGUGAAAGCCCACGGCUCAACCGUGGAGGGUCAUUGGAAACUGGAAAACUUGAGUGCAGAAGAGGAAAGUGGAAUUCCAUGUGUAGCGGUGAAAUGCGCAGAGAUAUGGAGGAACACCAGUG
This 731-nucleotide ribosomal RNA is filed under the name Listeria monocytogenes. RNAcentral's name for it is "bacterial SSU rRNA". It matches the Rfam family "Bacterial small subunit ribosomal RNA", at positions 1 to 714 of the family's 1533-position model. Lineage: Bacteria; Bacillati; Bacillota; Bacilli; Caryophanales; Listeriaceae. The record is from RNAcentral.